AACGAACGCUGGCGGCGUGCUUAACACAUGCAAGUCGAACGAGAACGGGUUAUAGCUUGCUAUAAUUGUCAGCUAAGUGGCGCACGGGUGAGUAAUGUAUAGGUAAUAUGCCUCUUACUAAGGGAUAACAAAUGGAAACGUUUGCUAAUACCUCAUACUCCUUAUUAACAGAAGUUAAUAAGGGAAAGAUUUAUUGGUAAGAGAUUAGCCUGUAUUGUAUCAGUUAGUUGGUGGGGUAAUGGCUUACCAAGACUAUGACACAUAACUGGUUUGAGAGGAUGAUCAGUCACACUGGAACUGAGACACGGUCCAGACUCCUACGGGAGGCAGCAGUGGGGAAUAUUGCACAAUGGACGAGAGUCUGAUGCAGCAACGCCGCGCGGAGGAUGACACAUUUCGGUGCGUAAACUCCUUUUAUAUGAGAAGAUAAUGACGGUAUUAUAUGAAUAAGCACCGGCUAACUCCGUGCCAGCCGCCGCCGUAA
Molecule: ribosomal RNA, 484 nt
Filed under: uncultured bacterium
Lineage: Bacteria
Description: partial 16S ribosomal RNA
Rfam family: Bacterial small subunit ribosomal RNA
Source: RNAcentral